GGAGACGUAGCUCAGCUGGUUAGAGCGCUUGCUUGACAUGCAAGAGGUCAUAGGUUCAAGUCCUACCGCCUCCACCA
This 77-nucleotide transfer RNA is filed under the name Clostridiales bacterium. Its description in RNAcentral is "tRNA-Val". It matches the Rfam family "tRNA". From Rfam's summary of the family: Transfer RNA (tRNA) molecules are approximately 80 nucleotides in length. Their secondary structure includes four short double-helical elements and three loops (D, anti-codon, and T loops). RNAcentral also lists the same sequence under 1 other name. Lineage: Bacteria; Bacillati; Bacillota; Clostridia; Eubacteriales. The record is from RNAcentral.